Molecule: long non-coding RNA, 1294 nt
Filed under: Suricata suricatta (meerkat)
Lineage: Eukaryota; Metazoa; Chordata; Mammalia; Carnivora; Herpestidae
Description: lncRNA (ENSSSUG00005003649.1)
Source: RNAcentral
UUUCUUUUCUGGUGGCACGUACAUCAUAAUGGCUAGGAAGAAUGGUCUGGAUUCUAGACUUCCUUGAUUUCUCAGGAGCCUUAUAUUAAUAUGAUUACUCCUGGUUUGUCUUUUUCAUCUCAUGUACACCUGCUGGUUGGUCCCUCACAUCUUAAAAGUAAAGAGGAAAACGGAUGUCUUGAGAGACCCCCAUUUGCUGCCACUGCUGUCGAGAGCUGCCAGGCCUGCUGUUCUCACCUGCUCAGCGUGCGUCCACUCCUCGUCACGUUUCGUCCAGCCGCUCCACGAAGGUGCUCUGACUGAAGGUUCUGGGACAUGGACACCUCUUCUGGGAGGUCACCGUUCAACCUAUGACAAAAUGCAGCUCCAACCACCCCAUUUCAUCUUAUGAGUAAUUACCCAGCUUAUUAAACGCUACCUACAGAUUCUUGUCAGUCCUUAUGUUAGUCUGGGAUCUCUAGAGAAACAGACCAAUAAGAGGGGUGUGUGUGUGUGUGUGUGUGUAAAGAGAUUCAUUACAGGGAAUUAGCUCAUGUGAUUAUGGACGCUAACAAGUCUUAAGAUCUGCAGGGUUAGUCAGUAAGCUGGAGAGUUGAUGAUGUGGUUCCAAUUCGAAGCCUAGCAGCUUGACACCCAGUAAGAGCUAAUGUUUCAGUUUAAGUCCAAAGGCAGGACUGUCCCACUGUCCCAAUCUGAAAGCAGUCAGGCAAGAGGCAUUCUCUCUUACUGGAAGGAAAACAAACCCUUUUGUUUCAUUCGGGCCUUCAAAUGAUUAGAUGAGGCCCACCCAAACGGAGGUGUCAAAUCUACUUUGAUCUGCUCUAUUCAGUCUACCAACUUAAAUGUUAAUCUCAUCUAAAAUGAGCCUCACAGAAACACCCAGAAUGUUUGGCCAAAUUAUCUGGGCACCCUGUGGCCCAGUAAAAGUGACCCUUAAAAUUAACCAUCAUAGUCCUCCUCACCUCUUAUUUUUUCCUUGUGUGUUUCAUUUCCUUCUUUCUUAUUAGAAUAAUGAGAACAUCCUUUUGAUGUUCUUUCACUGAGGAUCUCUUAAGGAUAAAGUCAGGUUUUUGAGUAAACCUGUCUUUUUAGAUCUGAAAACAUCUUUCAUAUGAUCCCAUUUUUGAAUGACAAUUUAAUUAGGUAAAAAAUUCUAGGUAGUUACUUUUCUCUCAGCACUUUGAAGAUAUUGUUACGUUGUCGUCUGUUUCUUAUGUUGAAAAGGGGCUGAAAGAAACAUUAUAACUGUGUAGGUUCUCAACUGUUGUUUUGUCUACUUUUCACUUUCCAAUCU